RNAcentral lists this unclassified non-coding RNA (215 nucleotides) under Cuphophyllus virgineus. RNAcentral describes it as "partial internal transcribed spacer 2". Lineage: Eukaryota; Fungi; Basidiomycota; Agaricomycetes; Agaricales; Hygrophoraceae. The record is from RNAcentral.
AAUUCUCAACCCAUUCAGCUUUUGUUAGAUGAAUGUGGCUUGGAUUUUGAGGGGUUGUGCGGGCUUUAUCAAGUCGGCUCCCUUUAAAUGCAUUAGCGGAAAACCCUUGUGGACCGUCUUUGGUGUGAUAAUUAUCUACGCCAUUGCCGUGAAGCAGCUAUACAAUGGGACUUCAGCUUCAAACCGUCCUUCAGAAGGACAACACUUAAUUGACA